Long non-coding RNA from Helianthus annuus (common sunflower), 205 nucleotides. RefSeq lists it as uncharacterized. The transcript is spliced from 3 exons. The record is from RefSeq and is a predicted model, not a curated record. NCBI's taxonomy places the organism in Eukaryota, Viridiplantae, Streptophyta, Magnoliopsida, Asterales, Asteraceae.
CAUAAUAAACAAACUCUACCCUAUCUCUCUCUCUCUCAAGAUCACGCACAACAGGAGACACCCCCCCCCCCUCUAGUGAUCAGCCAUUCUUCCCAGCCUUUCGGCUUUGAAUAACUGAGUGUGGUUGAGUAACUAAUCUUACCGAGCAAACCUAAGGUCGUUAGCUGUAUUGCAUUGGAACUUGCUGUUUGGAGUAGCAGGAGUG